Molecule: unclassified non-coding RNA, 240 nt
Filed under: soil metagenome
Description: partial contains 5.8S ribosomal RNA, internal transcribed spacer 2, and large subunit ribosomal RNA
Source: RNAcentral
AACAAGGCGUACCUGCGGACCUGCGGAAGGAUCAUUACUGAAUUAAUCAAAGUGAUUGAUUGUGCUGGCAGAUUUUUUUUGCAAGUGCACGUCAGUUACUUAUUAAUCCAUUACACACCUGUGAACCUUUGACUUUUCUUUUUUUUUAACUCUCAGCCUCUUAUGUGGCAGCAGGAUUAUGUUCUUUAUUGAACUUUAUCCUUGAGAGAAGGAAAAAAAAAAAGUAUUUUAUUCUACACU